Molecule: long non-coding RNA, 891 nt
Organism: Ornithorhynchus anatinus (platypus)
Lineage: Eukaryota; Metazoa; Chordata; Mammalia; Monotremata; Ornithorhynchidae
Exons: 2
Source: RefSeq, a predicted model, not a curated record
CGUCAAGGCAACACUCCAAACAGGUUACAUCAUGCAGCCCAAGAAAACCCAGCCAAGGGCAAGAUUUCAGAAAAAUUCAGUCAGCGUCUCGUCCAUUUGAAAGACUGCACUGUAGUAAUCAGAGGAAGAUAUUAAAAUGUUAAAGAGCCGAAGGAAUUCAGUGGGACUGGGAUCCUUUCAUCAUCAGAAGACCUGCUUUUGGCAGUAGAGUUAAAGCUGGCACAGCAGACUCCAUAGCUAUAGCAGCAUGACUAGUUGAUGGAGUGGUUAAUGAGCACAUGCUUCUUUUAAUGUUUCUUAUUUUGGAUAGUUCUACACACUUUGCAUUUUAAUUGAUCUCCAUCACGGUUUAUGGGUAUUAGGACUUCUACUGUCACCUUUCUUUUGGCUGGUUUAAAAGAUUUGCUUCUGGGGCCUGGAUGUGACCAUUCUUUCUCAGUGUUGUGUUUUGGUUUUGUUUUUCCCCAUGGAAAGAAGACUCUUGGAACUGUUGGCUUUUGGCUGUGAGCUCAGUGGUCAGGGAAAAAAUGGAAAGAAAAACAUGGAAGCAGGAAGGAGAGAAUAGGAAGCCUUUUUCAAUCAUUUGGAUCCAGUAGAUGUCCCGAAAGACAGAGCUGGAGGGCUUAAGAUGGCUUGAUUGAUAGAAAGAGCAGAAUUGCUCAUUGGAAAAAGUAUCUCUCCCUUAAUCGCCCAUAGCCCACAUUUUUGCUGUCUUGUCUCUGUGUUAUCAACUUCCCCUCCCUUUUUUGUUGACUAUUAACAAUUAGUGUGUACCUUUCUGCUUUCCCAAUAAAAAAAGGAUUUGAAAAGUCAUUAGGAGUUUUCCAACAGGACAUAAACAAAGAAACAAGCAGGUUUUUUUUUUUCUUUAAAUAAAGCUGGUUUACUGGA